UCUUCUUCUACAGCACAACUGUUUCUCUUGCUCAGAAACCAUCUCUGGGAAGAGCAACAAUUUACCCAGUAGAGAGUGAAGGUCUAAGAUUCCCAAAGCAUCCUAAGACAUCUGCUCUGUAUUGGUUUGCAGAGCUGCUCGAGAAACACGAGCUCUGCAGCAAGAAAACAGAUUCUAUUUCAUGGCCAGAGCUCUGGGAGUAAAGAAAAGGAGGAUUAAAGAAAACAGUUAAAAUACA
Molecule: long non-coding RNA, 238 nt
Organism: Chiroxiphia lanceolata (lance-tailed manakin)
Lineage: Eukaryota; Metazoa; Chordata; Aves; Passeriformes; Pipridae
Exons: 2
Source: RefSeq, a predicted model, not a curated record